GGUGGCUCAGUGGUAGAGUGCUUGUAUUGCAUGCAUGAGGCCCUGGGUUCGAUUCCUCAGCACCA
This 65-nucleotide transfer RNA is filed under the name Dipodomys ordii (Ord's kangaroo rat). It matches the Rfam family "tRNA". From Rfam's summary of the family: Transfer RNA (tRNA) molecules are approximately 80 nucleotides in length. Their secondary structure includes four short double-helical elements and three loops (D, anti-codon, and T loops). Further hydrogen bonds mediate the characteristic L-shaped molecular structure. tRNAs have two regions of fundamental functional importance: the anti-codon, which is responsible for specific mRNA codon recognition, and the 3' end, to which the tRNAs corresponding amino acid is attached (by aminoacyl-tRNA synthetases). tRNAs cope with the degeneracy of the genetic code in two manners: having more than one tRNA (with a specific anti-codon) for a particular amino acid; and 'wobble' base-pairing, i.e. permitting non-standard base-pairing at the 3rd anti-codon position. Lineage: Eukaryota; Metazoa; Chordata; Mammalia; Rodentia; Heteromyidae. The record is from Rfam by way of RNAcentral.